UUCCUGUUUUUAAAACUUUUAAUUUUUUGGUUUUACUUUUUAAACAUUUUUCAUUAAAACCUAAGGGACACACACCUUAGCCUAGGCCUACGCAGGGUCAGGACCAUGCACGUCACUGUCUUCCCCCUCCCUCUCUGUCCCACUGGAAGGUCUUCAGGGGCAAUGACAGGCAUGGAGCCAUCAUCUCCUGGGAUGAUGCUGGCUUCUUCAGGACACCUCCUGAAGGACCUGCCUGCAGCUGUUUAUAGUUAACUUUUAAAAAUACAAGUAGAGGAAGUACACAAAACAAUACAAAGUAUAGUACAGUAAAUGCAUUAGCUAGUAACAGCCAUUUAUAAUCAUGUACGCUACCUAAUUGUAUGUGCUAGACUUUUACAUGCCUGGAAGUGCAGUAGACUCAUUGACACCAGCGUCGCCACAAACACAUAAGGAGUGUGUCACACUGCAACGUGACCACGGGUCUGCGGCCAGGCUACAGGAGACUCUCAGCUCUGUUAUAAUCUUAUGGGAGCAAAACCAUAUAUAUGGUCCACUGUUGACCAAAACGUUGUCAUGCAUGCAUGAUCAUAUUUAUCGGUCUGCAAAAGUUAAAAAUGAUGACUUGGAAACACUGGUAAUGGGGCAUUUUGCUUCAGCAACAUUUUCCCUGUUUGGGUGUCGGUGGCUCAGCCAGUGUUGAAGAAAUCUGCAGUGAAGAAGAGGGUAGGUCGAAUCUGCUGCAGAGGAGGUUGCAUCCUGUGGGCCACAGCUGCCUGGUGAUAUCAUUUUCACCAGCUGCUGCCUCCGCUGACAGAGAGCUGGGCAGGGGGAUGGGGGAGCUGGUGACCCACCCAGAUGCUCUCUCUUGCUGGGGUGCUCAGUCCCCGGGGCCAGGAGUGUCCUAAUGACCGUGCGCUUGUCCACUUCCAGUGGAAUUAUGAAAUCUGCUGGGCUGACAGGUGCUGCUGGGACUGGGGGGUGUGGGUCGAGCACCCCUGCACACACAUCCAGGGACUGGUUGGUGCAGACACACACUGGCUUGACUGUACACACCCCUUGACUGCACAAGGGCUGAUUUUGUGGCGUUGUUCCUGCUCUAGACUGAAGCAGGGUUCUCAAAGCAAACCCGGCCAGUAGCACCGUCCCUCCUGGGAAGUUGUUGGAGACGCAAAUUCUCCAGCCUCAUCCCUGACCUAUAGAUUUAGAGCUCUGGGGUAUGGCCCAGCAGCAUGUGUUUAACGAGCCCUGCAGGAGGUUCUGAUGCAGCUCAAAUUGGGGCACACAGCUCUGAGUGUCCCUUGGUGUCUGGAGGGCUCUGGUCUGCAGCACAGACACCUCCUGGCUUAGCUUUGCCUCCACCCCGGCUUCUCUCCUUGCUCCCCUGAGAGCACCAGCUCCGGCCAUCUCUUGGACAAGCACCUCGCCCCGGGAGUCUGCGUCUGGGAACCAAGCGGGCUUUCUGCACACCGCCUCAGGGGCAGCUGCUGGCCACACACGGCCAUCGGGUGCUCAAAGUGCACUGACUCAGACUGAAAAUCUACACGCAGGUGUUGGAGACUUAGUGCAAGAACAGAACGUGGAGUUCCACAGAGUAGUUUACUCUUCAUUGUGUGCUGAAAUCAUCACAUCUUGGACAUACUAAAAUAAUAUGAACAUUUCUUUCCCUUGUUUUGUUUGCUUUUGUUUUUGUUUUGAGGCAAGGUCUUGCUGGGUCACCCAGGCUGGAGCACAGUGGUGUGAUCUUGGCUCGCUGCAGCCUCGACCUCCCAGGCUCAAGCCAUCCUCCCACCUCAGUGUUCUGAGUAGCUGGGACCACAGGCAUGCACCACCAUGCUCUGCUAAUUUUUGUAUUUUUUUUUUUUUUUUGUAGAGAUGGGGUCUCGCUAUGUUGUCCAGGCUGGUUUCCAACUCCUGGCCUCAAGUGAUCCUCCUGCCUUGGCCUCUCAAAGUGCUAGGAUUAUAGGUAUGAGCCACCAUGCCCAUUCCGUUCCGUUUUUCUUGUGACUUUAGAAAAUUUAAAAAUACACAUGAGGCUCAUGCUCUGUGUCUUUUGACCAAUGCCAGCUGAGAGGUACUAAGGUACUAAGAGCAGUGGCAGCUCAGCAGUGAAGGAAGUGGCUGUGCCAGGUCUGCUGUCCAAAGAUGGCAAGCUGGCAGAGAUUCAAAUCCAAACCAAAAAAAGCCCAGAUGGCCUUUCCUGAGCACGGGGCCCCAGGUGAGAAGGCAGAUUCUGAAGCGGGGCUUCCCACUCAUCUUGCUGAGCCUGCCUUUCCCGGUCUUUUGGUGCUGGCUGUGGUGCUGUGAGAGAUGAUGAAGUUUGUAAGUCAGGGCAGUUUUUAAACCCACAGACAAGAAGCACAUCUGCAAAAUGCAGCCUGGGAGCUGUCUACUCUGCCCGGAACAGUGGGGAUCUCUGCAGGAGGAAAUCGCAUAGUUUCCCACGGGUGAAUUGUCAUGAUGCUGUUGUGGCUGUUGGCAGGAAGCUUCCUCACAUUUUCAGUUUAAAUGCAUUCCUCCUGAUCUUUCCAAAAGACGGAGGCAGAACAGCUGGUUGCCAUACUCCGCAUAAAGUCCUUUGGGUAAAUUGAAGGCAUUUAGUGCUAUAAAUUUCCCUCUACACACAGAAAUACAAACUACCAUCAGAGAAUACUACAAACACCUCUACGCAAAUAAACUAGAAAAUCUAGAAGAAAUGGAUACAUUCCUCGACACAUACACUCUCCCAAGACUAAACCAGGAAGAAGUUGAAUCUCUGAAUCGACCAAUAACAGGCUCUGAAAUUGUGGCAAUAAUCAAUAGUUUACCAACCAAAAAGAGUCCAGGACCAGAUGGAUUCACAGCCGAAUUCUACCAGAGGUACAAGGAGGAACUGGUACCAUUCCUUCUGAAACUAUUCCAAUCAAUAGAAAAAGAGGGAAUCCUCCCUAACUCAUUUUAUGAGGCCAGCAUCAUUCUGAUACCAAAGCCGGGCAGAGACACAACCAAAAAAGAGAAUUUUAGACCAAUAUCCUUGA
Molecule: long non-coding RNA, 2993 nt
Filed under: Homo sapiens (human)
Lineage: Eukaryota; Metazoa; Chordata; Mammalia; Primates; Hominidae
Description: HSALNT0083334
Source: RNAcentral